GAUCAACGCUGGCGGCGUGCCUAAUGCAUGCAAGUCGAGCGGGGGAGCCUUCGGGCUACUUACGCGGCGGACGGGUGCGGAACACGUGGGCAACCUGCCCCGAGGUGGGGGAUAGCCGGUGGAAACACCGGGUAAUUCCGCAUGAGGUCACUGAUCGGAGGGUCAGUGAGGAAAGGGUCUUCGGACCCGCCUUGGGAGGGGCCUGCGGCCGAUUAGCUAGACGGUGGGGUAACGGCCUACCGUGGCGAUGAUCGGUAGCUGGUCUGAGAGGACGGCCAGCCACACGGGGACUGAGACACGGCCCCGACUCCUACGGGAGGCAGCAGCAAGGAAUCUUCCGCAAUGGGCGAAAGCCUGACGGAGCAACGCCGCGUGUGGGAUGACGCCUUUCGGGGUGUAAACCACUUUUCUCAGGGAAGAAGCACUGACGGUACCUGAGGAAUAAGGACCGGCUAACUACGUG
This 463-nucleotide ribosomal RNA is filed under the name uncultured organism. Its description in RNAcentral is "bacterial SSU rRNA". It matches the Rfam family "Bacterial small subunit ribosomal RNA", at positions 28 to 507 of the family's 1533-position model. The record is from RNAcentral.